RNAcentral lists this ribosomal RNA (349 nucleotides) under Dinarolacerta mosorensis. Its description in RNAcentral is "partial 12S ribosomal RNA". It matches the Rfam family "Bacterial small subunit ribosomal RNA", at positions 863 to 1377 of the family's 1533-position model. Lineage: Eukaryota; Metazoa; Chordata; Lepidosauria; Squamata; Lacertidae. The record is from RNAcentral.
AGCUAUCCGCCAGAGAACUACAAGUGAAAAACUUGAAACUCAAAGGACUUGACGGUGUCCCAUAUCGGCCUAGAGGAGCCUGUCCUAUAAUCGAUACCCCCCGUUCCACCCAACCUUAGCUAGCACAUAACAGCCUAUAUACCGCCGUCGAUCAGCCUACCCUAUGAAGGUUUAACAGUAGACACAAAAGUCUUAACCACUAAUACGUCAGGUCAAGGUGUAGCAAAUGCUAAGGAAGAGAUUGGCUACAUUUUUUAUUUUAAAAAAUACGAAAAGCACUAUGAAACCAUGCUUGAAGGUGAAUUUAGUAGUAAAAUAAAUAAGAGAAUUUAUUUUAACAACGCUCUGG